This 372-nucleotide ribosomal RNA is filed under the name uncultured organism. RNAcentral's name for it is "partial 16S ribosomal RNA". It matches the Rfam family "Bacterial small subunit ribosomal RNA", at positions 527 to 896 of the family's 1533-position model. The record is from RNAcentral.
GUAGGUGGCAAGCGUUGUCCGGAAUUAUUGGGCGUAAAGCGCGCGCAGGUGGUUCUUUAAGUCUGAUGUGAAAGCCCCCGGCUCAACCGGGGAGGGUCAUUGGAAACUGGGAACUUGAGUGCAGGAGAGGAAAGUGGAAUUCCACGUGUAGCGGUGAAAUGCGUAGAUAUGUGGAGGAACACCAGUGGCGAAGGCGACUUUCUGGCCUGUAACUGACACUGAGGCGCGAAAGCGUGGGGAGCAAACAGGGAUUAGAUACCCUGGUAGUCCACGCCGUAAACGAUGAGUGCUAAGUGUUGGGGGGGUUUCCCGCCCCUCAGUGCUGCAGCUAACGCAUUAAGCACUCCGCCUGGGGAUACGGUCGCAAGACUG